RNAcentral lists this ribosomal RNA (253 nucleotides) under uncultured bacterium. Its description in RNAcentral is "partial 16S ribosomal RNA". It matches the Rfam family "Bacterial small subunit ribosomal RNA", at positions 524 to 776 of the family's 1533-position model. The record is from RNAcentral.
UACGUAGGGGGCUAGCGUUGUCCGGAUUUAUUGGGCGUAAAGAGCGUGUAGGCGGCCAGGUAGGUCCGCUGUGAAAACUCGAGGCUCAACCUCGAGAUGUCGGCGGAAACCGUCUGGCUAGAGUCCGGAAGAGGAGAGUGGAAUUCCUGGUGUAGCGGUGAAAUGCGCAGAUAUCAGGAAGAACACCUAUGGCGAAGGCAGCUCUCUGGGACGGUACUGACGCUGAGACGCGAAAGCGUGGGGAGCGAACAGG